RNAcentral lists this ribosomal RNA (561 nucleotides) under Bacillus sp. HPC211. Its description in RNAcentral is "bacterial SSU rRNA". It matches the Rfam family "Bacterial small subunit ribosomal RNA", at positions 29 to 568 of the family's 1533-position model. The record is from RNAcentral. Lineage: Bacteria; Bacillati; Bacillota; Bacilli; Caryophanales; Bacillaceae.
CGAGACGCUGACGGCGUGCCGUAAUACUUGAAAGUCGAGCCGAACNGAUUAGAAGCUUGCUUCUAUGACGUUAGCGGCGGACGGGUGAGUAACACGUGGGCAACCUGCCUGUAAGACUGGGAUAACUCCGGGAAACCGGAGCUAAUACCGGAUAACAUUUUCUCUUGCAUAAGAGAAAAUUGAAAGAUGGUUUCGGCUAUCACUUACAGAUGGGCCCGCGGUGCAUUAGCUAGUUGGUGAGGUAACGGCUCACCAAGGCAACGAUGCAUAGCCGACCUGAGAGGGUGAUCGGCCACACUGGGACUGAGACACGGCCCAGACUCCUACGGGAGGCAGCAGUAGGGAAUCUUCCGCAAUGGACGAAAGUCUGACGGAGCAACGCCGCGUGAGUGAUGAAGGCUUUCGGGUCGUAAAACUCUGUUGUUAGGGAAGAACAAGUACAAGAGUAACUGCUUGUACCUUGACGGUACCUAACCAGAAAGCCACGGCUAACUACGUGCCAGCAGCCGCGGUAAUACGUAAGGUGGCAAGCGUUAUCCGGAAUUAUUGGGCGUAAAGCGC